CGCCUUAGUCUUUUCUAUUCCCUGAUGUCCGACAUGUCCGAGUUGCGUCGCACGGUCUUCUAGCGCUUUUGGUAUAACCGUUCUGCUCCCUUUGAGAAGGUCUCCUGCUACUUCUUCCGCAUACAUGACAAGGUUUUAGUUCUACAUACUUCUCCUGUCAUUUCUCUGAUUUCAAGCAUUCUAAGACUUUUUAAUACGGUGUCUGACAAGGUGGCUUCCAUGAUAUCUUGAAGUAUAUACCACUUGACUUCGGUACAGCAUUGUUAAUGAUUAAUUUAUUGUACAAUAAAUUAAUAGAAGAACCCAAAUUCAAGCCCUUCAGUGAGUUGUUAAUAUGAUGUAAAUCACAUAAUUAUCGGCAAUUUUUUCUAAGAUUGUAGUUUUUCUUUGGGUGGUGGUAGGAUGACGGCUCAGGUAAUCGGCUUCGUUAACUGUUUCUUUCUUGUAAAUUACACGGAAGUGAUACGGUUGCAGUCGUAGCAUCCAGCGUUUAAUACGAGCUGGGGGUUUUGAUCUUGGAUCAUUGAAGAUUGCUUCCAGAGCUUUGUGGUCAGUAUAUAAACAUCGAAUUCAAUACCCAGAAGAAACAGUUAAUCCCCCACACUAAGCUCAACCCUACGAUGUCAGUCUGUUAGUAUCGACUUCCGAUUGGAG
Non-coding RNA from Paramuricea clavata, 654 nucleotides. The record is from the annotation of a GenBank genome assembly. NCBI's taxonomy places the organism in Eukaryota, Metazoa, Cnidaria, Anthozoa, Malacalcyonacea, Plexauridae.